UGGGGAAUUUUGGACAAUGGGCGAAAGCCUGAUCCAGCAAUGCCGCGUGUGUGAAGAAGGCCUUCGGGUUGUAAAGCACUUUUGUCCGGAAAGAAAUCCUUGGCUCUAAUACAGUCGGGGGAUGACGGUACCGGAAGAAUAAGCACCGGCUAACUACGUGCCAGCAGCCGCGGUAAUACGUAGGGUGCAAGCGUUAAUCGGAAUUACUGGGCGUAAAGCGUGCGCAGGCGGUUUGCUAAGACCGAUGUGAAAUCCCCGGGCUCAACCUGGGAACUGCAUUGGUGACUGGCAGGCUAGAGUAUGGCAGAGGGGGGUAGAAUUCCACGUGUAGCAGUGAAAUGCGUAGAGAUGUGGAGGAAUACCGAUGGCGAAGGCAGCCCCCUGGGCCAAUACUGACGCUCAUGCACGAAAGCGUGGGGAGCAAACAGGAUUAGAUACCCUGGUAGUCCACGCCCUAAACGAUGUCAACUAGUUGUUGGGGAUUCAUUUCCUUAGUAACGUAGCUAACGCGUGAAGUUGACCGCCUGGGGAGUACGGUCGCAAGAUUAAAACUUAAAGGAAUUG
Molecule: ribosomal RNA, 564 nt
Filed under: uncultured bacterium
Lineage: Bacteria
Description: partial 16S ribosomal RNA
Rfam family: Bacterial small subunit ribosomal RNA
Source: RNAcentral